RNAcentral lists this ribosomal RNA (224 nucleotides) under uncultured bacterium. RNAcentral's name for it is "partial 16S ribosomal RNA". It matches the Rfam family "Bacterial small subunit ribosomal RNA", at positions 96 to 334 of the family's 1533-position model. The record is from RNAcentral.
UGGCGUACGGGUGAGUAACACGUGGGUAAUCUACCUCUUAGUGAGGAAUAACCCUGGGAAACCGGGGCUAAUACCGCAUAAGCUCGAGAGAGGAAAGCAGCAAUGCGCUGAGAGAGGAGCCCGCGGCCGAUUAGCUAGUUGGCAGGGUAAAAGCCUACCAAGGCAGAGAUCGGUAGCCGGCCUGAGAGGGCACACGGCCACACUGGCACUGAAACACGGGCCAG